Molecule: small nuclear RNA, 107 nt
Organism: Kogia breviceps (pygmy sperm whale)
Lineage: Eukaryota; Metazoa; Chordata; Mammalia; Artiodactyla; Physeteridae
Source: RefSeq, a predicted model, not a curated record
GUGCUCGCUUCAGCAGCACAUAUACGAAAACUGGAACGAUACAGAGAAGAUUAGCGUGGCCCCUGCGCAACGGGGACGCGCAAAUUCACGAAGCGUUCCAUAUUAAA